This 1477-nucleotide ribosomal RNA is filed under the name uncultured bacterium. RNAcentral's name for it is "partial 16S rRNA". It matches the Rfam family "Bacterial small subunit ribosomal RNA". The record is from RNAcentral.
GACGAACGCUGGCGGCGUGCUUAACACAUGCAAGUCGAACGGAGAUUCAGCAAUGGAUCUUAGUGGCGAACGGGUGAGUAACGCGUAGGCAAUCUGCCUUCUAGAUGGGGACAACAUCCCGAAAGGGGUGCUAAUACCGAAUGUUGUAUGAUCUUCGCAUGGAGAUGAUACUAAAGGUGGCCUCUGAAUAUGCUACCGCUAGAAGAUGAGCCUGCGUCUGAUUAGCUAGUUGGAGAGGUAACGGCCCACCAAGGCUUCGAUCAGUAGCCGGUCUGAGAGGAUGAACGGCCACACUGGGACUGAGACACGGCCCAGACUCCUACGGGAGGCAGCAGUGGGGAAUCUUCCGCAAUGGACGAAAGUCUGACGGAGCAACGCCGCGUGAGUGAAGAAGGUUUUCGGAUCGUAAAACUCUGUUGUUAGAGAAGAAUGUUGAUUAGAGUGGAAAAUUAAUCAAGUGACGGUAUCUAACCAGAAAGGGACGGCUAACUACGUGCCAGCAGCCGCGGUAAUACGUAGGUCCCGAGCGUUGUCCGGAUUUAUUGGGCGUAAAGCGAGCGCAGGUGGUCUAAUAAGUCUGAUGUAAAAGGCAGUGGCUCAACCAUUGUGUGCAUUGGAAACUGUUAGACUUGAGUGCAGUAGAGGAGAGUGGAAUUCCAUGUGUAGCGGUGAAAUGCGUAGAUAUAUGGAGGAACACCGGUGGCGAAAGCGGCUCUCUGGACUGUCACUGACACUGAGGCUCGAAAGCGUGGGUAGCAAACAGGAUUAGAUACCCUGGUAGUCCACGCCGUAAACGAUGAGUGCUAGUUGUUUGGGGCUAUCCAGCCCUAAGUGACGCAGCAAACGCAUUAAGCACUCCGCCUGGGGAGUACGACCGCAAGGUUGAAACUCAAAGGAAUUGACGGGGGCCCGCACAAGCGGUGGAGCAUGUGGUUUAAUUCGAAGCAACGCGAAGAACCUUACCAGGUCUUGACAUACUCGUGCUAUUCCUAGAGAUAGGAAGUUCCUUCGGGACACGGGAUACAGGUGGUGCAUGGUUGUCGUCAGCUCGUGUCGUGAGAUGUUGGGUUAAGUCCCGCAACGAGCGCAACCCUUAUUGUUAGUUGCCAUCAUUAAGUUGGGCACUCUAGCGAGACUGCCGGUAAUAAACCGGAGGAAGGUGGGGAUGACGUCAAAUCAUCAUGCCCCUUAUGACCUGGGCUACACACGUGCUACAAUGGGCGGUACAAAGAGAAGCUAACUCGCGAGAGCGCGCAAAUCUCAAAAAGCCGUCCUAAGUUCGGAUUGGAGUCUGCAACUCGACUCCAUGAAGCUGGAAUCGCUAGUAAUCGCGGAUCAGCAUGCCGCGGUGGAUACGUUCCCGGGCCUUGUACACACCGCCCGUCACACCCGGAAAAUUGAUUGCACCAGAAGUCGUUGAGCUAACUUCUAUUUAUAGAGGGGGCAGACGCCGACGGUGUGGUUAGUAAUCGGGGUG